AGCGAACGCUGGCGGCAGGCCUAACACAUGCAAGUCGAACGAACCUUUCGGGGUUAGUGGCGGACGGGGGAGUAACACGUGGGAACGUGCCCUUAGGUUCGGAAUAACUCAGGGAAACUUGUGCUAAUACCGAAUGUGCCCUUCCGGGGAAAGAUGUAUCGCCUUUAGAGCGGCCCGCGUCUGAUUAGCCGGUUGGUUGAGGUAAUGGCGCACCAAGGCGACUAUCAGUGGCUGGGGUGAGAGGAGGAUCAGCCACAUUGGGACUGAGACACGGCCCAAACGCCUAGGGGAGGCAGCAGAGGGGAAUCAUGGGCAAGGAGCGAAAGGCUGACGCAGCCAUGCCGCGUGAAUGGUGAACGUGUUAGGAACGUAAAAUUCUUUCACCGGGGACGAUGAGAACGGAACCCGGAGAAGAAGCCCCGGCUAACUUCGU
This 433-nucleotide ribosomal RNA is filed under the name uncultured bacterium. Its description in RNAcentral is "partial 16S ribosomal RNA". It matches the Rfam family "Bacterial small subunit ribosomal RNA", at positions 29 to 506 of the family's 1533-position model. The record is from RNAcentral.